RNAcentral lists this ribosomal RNA (460 nucleotides) under uncultured bacterium. RNAcentral describes it as "partial 16S ribosomal RNA". It matches the Rfam family "Bacterial small subunit ribosomal RNA", at positions 338 to 795 of the family's 1533-position model. The record is from RNAcentral.
CCUACGGGUGGCAGCAGGGAGGAAGAUUGGUCAAUGGGCGGACGCCUGAACCAGCCAAGUCGCGGGAGGGAAGACUGCCCUAUGGGUUGUAAACCUCUUUUGUCAGGGAGCAACUGGCGCUACGUGUAGCGUUAUCGAGAGCACCUGAAGAAAAAGCACCGGCUAACUCCGUGCCAGCAGCCGCGGUAAUACGGAGGAUGCGAGCGUUAGCCGGAUGUAUUGGGUUUAAAGGGUGCGUAGGCGGAAUGCCAAGUCAGCGGUAAAAUCGCGGGGCUCAACCUCGCUCCGCCGUUGAAACUGGCGUGCUUGAGUGGGCGAGAGGUAUGCGGAAUGCGUGGUGUAGCGGUGAAAUGCAUAGAUAUCACGCAGAACUCCGAUCGCGAAGGCAGCAUACCGGAGCCCAACUGACGCUGAGGCACGAAAGCGUGGGUAUCGAACAGGAUUAGAUACCCCUGUAGUC